Molecule: ribosomal RNA, 386 nt
Filed under: uncultured bacterium
Lineage: Bacteria
Description: bacterial SSU rRNA
Rfam family: Bacterial small subunit ribosomal RNA
Source: RNAcentral
GACGAACGCUGGCGGCGUGCUUAACACAUGCAAGUCGAGCGGUAAGGCCCUUUCGGGGGUACACGAGCGGCGAACGGGUGAGUAACACGUGGGUGACCUGCCCUCAGCUCUGGGAUAAGCCUGGGAAACUGGGUCUAAUACUGGAUAUGACUCCACGGUGCAUGUCGUGGGGUGGAAAGCCUUGUGCGGCUGAGGAUGGGCCCGCGGCCUAUCAGCUUGUUGGUGGGGUGANGGCCUACCAAGGCGACGACGGGUAGCCGGCCUGAGAGGGCGACCGGCCACACUGGGACUGAGACACGGCCCAGACUCCUACGGGAGGCAGCAGUGGGGAAUCUUGCGCAAUGGGACGAAAGCCUGACGCAGCGACGCCGCGUGAGGGAUGACGG